This 336-nucleotide long non-coding RNA is filed under the name Helianthus annuus (common sunflower). RNAcentral describes it as "sRNA HanXRQr2_Chr04g0157491". The record is from RNAcentral. Lineage: Eukaryota; Viridiplantae; Streptophyta; Magnoliopsida; Asterales; Asteraceae.
AUGAGUCUUUCAUUUUCACUUGCACCAUUUCUUUCUAUCCUUCUCUUAUGGGGACUCCUGAUCAUAAGGAAGCUUAUUCUAGUUGAAAAGAUUGCUAGGACCCUUUGUGCCGUUUGAUUCCGUGAUCUUUCCAGCGUUGUUGGUGGUUAUCUAAAGACUAUUAAGCAAUGUCAAGAGCUAAUGCAUACGUUUGAUCAGGAUACACUAGGGUGGACUCGGGCCUUAGUGACAUAAAAGAAGCAAGAUUAGUUUAAAUAAUGUUAUGAACUCUUGUUUCCUUUGUUUAAAGACAAUGUAAUCCCUCUUUGUUUAUAAAUAAAACUGAACUUUAAUUAC